Molecule: ribosomal RNA, 380 nt
Filed under: uncultured prokaryote
Description: bacterial SSU rRNA
Rfam family: Archaeal small subunit ribosomal RNA
Source: RNAcentral
GCGAAAACUUUGCAAUGCGGGAAACCGUGACAAGGGAACUCCGAGUGCCCGUAAAUUCGGGCUGUCCGCCAGUUUAAAUAACUGGUGAAGAAAGGGCCGGGCAAGACCGGUGCCAGCCGCCGCGGUAAUACCGGCGGCUCGAGUGGUGGCCACUAUUACUGGGCUUAAAGCGUUCGUAGCUGGCCUGUUAAGUCUCUGGGGAAAUCUUCCGGCUUAACCGGAAGGCGUCUCAGGGAUACUGGCAGGCUAGGGACCGGUAGAGGUGAGGGGUACUCCAGGGGUAGGAGUGAAAUCCUGUAAUCCUUGGGGGACCACCUGUGGCGAAGGCGUCUCACCAGAACGGCUCCGACAGUGAGGAACGAAAGCUGGGGGAGCAAACC